Molecule: long non-coding RNA, 405 nt
Organism: Drosophila obscura
Lineage: Eukaryota; Metazoa; Arthropoda; Insecta; Diptera; Drosophilidae
Exons: 3
Source: RefSeq, a predicted model, not a curated record
UUGUUUAUCAAUUGACAGUUGUUUUUUUUUUUUUUGUUGCUCCGCCGAAGCGGGGAUUUAGUUUGGGGGGACAAAGAGUAUAGAAGGAACGGACUCUCUGGUUGUUGCAAAUGCUGCGGUUGCCUCUGUCUCUCCACAGCUCUCCAUCUCCAUCAGCAUCCCCAAUCCCCUCCCCACCCCAUCUCUCUACGCUGACGGAAUGUUUGCCUGGUGUUUUGUAAGUUGUAUUUUAAAGCCCGAUGCUGUCAGGAUAGCAGCCAAGAGCUCAUGUCGAACAACUAAGUAGUGGCUUUGGACACAUAUUUUCGGGCGUGGCAACCUACGCAGCGGGGCAAAACAUUCGCAGAAGAUAAAGAUACAUUCUAUAAAAUAAUAUAUAUUAAGCAAGAGGAAAAUAAACAAUGA